UUGCACUGCAUUUUUGAUGUGUUGCGGGAAAACAAACAAACAAACAAACAAAACCUCAAGUCCUUUGUGUUUCAGCUAGAUCCAAGUUGGGGAAAUGUUAAGUAGAAACACUUAACAAACUGUAUCUUUCGAAAGCGUGUUUUAAUGCCAAAACAGGAAGAAAACAGAAUUUGAAACAGUUCCCAAUGUUUGAUCGGCCUUUUUUUGGUUUGUGUGAGAAACUUGCGGUCCAGGCUGUAACAUAACAAAGGGCUCGGUAGGAGGGAUGAAAAAGAUCAAAAAGAGGAAAAAGAAACUUCUUUCAAAACGUCGCUGCUGAUCAUAAGUAGCUGUAGGAGUCAGAUAUCUGCAUGAAAUUGAAACCACUUCACCUUCUGAGACAUGCGUUUUCCCUCUGCUCUGGGUUAUAACUUAGGCACGGACCGUAGCAGGGUUCAUGCUGCCUCUGCCGGCUGCUGCUCUGGCUUCCCCCGUGUGUUCUCAGGGCAUUUCACUUGCGUUUGUAGUACCUUCAAAAGGGAAGCUGGGCAAAGAAGAAAGUAAAACUAGCCUGGUAAAAACAGCCAGUGCCCUGCUUGUUUGUGUGAUGACAGACGGUGCCGCGCUGGUCACUGCGGCCUCAUGAGAAAGUUGAGCUCUGGGUGUGUGAGCAGAGGUGAGGAGGAGGAGGAGGAAGAGUUUGUGUCCCCGUGCCACACAGCAGGACAAACGGCCAUGGAGACAGUGCCUGGGGUGUUCAAAGGGACUCAGGACCAAGAUGAGGGGCACCAAACCUGUGUUUUUUGCAGCUCUGCA
Oxyura jamaicensis (ruddy duck) is the source of this 795-nucleotide long non-coding RNA. RefSeq lists it as uncharacterized. Lineage: Eukaryota; Metazoa; Chordata; Aves; Anseriformes; Anatidae. The transcript has 3 exons. The record is from RefSeq and is a predicted model, not a curated record.